GAAAACUUCAAACAACAAGAGUAGCAGACGUAUACUUCUGCAAACUCUUGGAAAUUCAGAACCUCUUUUUUUGAUAUCCUUAUUUUCAAAGUAGGCAAAAUUAAAAACGACUUAAUUAGUACCAUUAAGUGAGAAAGUGAUGGGAAAGUGUUAUCCAUCAAGUGUGAUGUAAUAUUCUGUACUUGUUACUCUUUCAAAACUAAUGUAUUAAAAUCAGCAUAUACUGAAGAAAAAAUCAUUACUCAAAAAUAGUUUCAAUUGGGCAAAUGUGUGUCUUCAACUUUGUUGAAAUGACAGAGUUUGUGUUGAUCCUCAUAUACAAUAAUGUUGUUGUAACACAAGUGUUAUUAGACCAUAGCCACAAAAUAUUUAAUGUGUUGUGCCUUCAUGAUGUAACAGAACAUUCUCCAGGUAGGUAGUUGGGGAAAAUAAAGGGAUAAAUCUCUAAUUAUUGCUGUUUAACUGUUUCUUAUCAUAGUUGGUCAAUGCCUGGCAGGUACCAGCAUUUUGUCACUUGGGUCAAACCAAGGGAGUGACAGAUAAUGUUAAUAAGAUCUCAGUUGCACGUGCAAACAAAUCCAAAUUUGAACAUUCUUAGGAGGUUUUUUGUUAAGGCAUGACAGAUGAUUUAAACAAAUAAAUAGCAUGCAACAAAAUGUCUUUAUUGAAAGGAGUGGAAGUUAUAUUAAUGCCACGGUUCACCAUCAAUUUACACGUUAAAAAAAAAGAAAAAAGUUUAAAAAAAUUGCUAAUCUGAUAGUUAAUUUGUUCUUACCAAAAAUGAAGUUACUUUGUAAAUAGCAGUUCACAUUUUUCCACAGUAUAAUGGAAAAUAAUGGGUAGGGGUGCAUUGCUUAUUGAAGUCAUUUUUGUCGGUUUGUGAGGGGUGUUUGAUGACUUUGACAAAAUAAAUAUCUAAACAAUUAUCCUUGUUACAGCUUUGCAAGUUCUACGUUAUUUACACUUAUCAGCUCUUGCAAUAAAUGUUCUGAAUUACUC
This 999-nucleotide long non-coding RNA is filed under the name Rattus norvegicus (Norway rat). RNAcentral's name for it is "long non-coding RNA NONRATT011129". The record is from RNAcentral. Lineage: Eukaryota; Metazoa; Chordata; Mammalia; Rodentia; Muridae.